RNAcentral lists this ribosomal RNA (599 nucleotides) under Klebsiella pneumoniae. Its description in RNAcentral is "partial 23S ribosomal RNA". It matches the Rfam family "Bacterial large subunit ribosomal RNA", at positions 1 to 641 of the family's 2925-position model. The record is from RNAcentral. Lineage: Bacteria; Pseudomonadati; Pseudomonadota; Gammaproteobacteria; Enterobacterales; Enterobacteriaceae.
GGUUAAGCGACUAAGCGUACACGGUGGAUGCCCUGGCAGUCAGAGGCGAUGAAGGACGUGCUAAUCUGCGAAAAGCGUCGGUAAGGUGAUAUGAACCGUUAUAACCGGCGAUGUCCGAAUGGGGAAACCCAGUGCAAUUCGUUGCACUAUCGUUAACUGAAUACAUAGGUUAACGAGGCGAACCGGGGGAACUGAAACAUCUAAGUACCCCGAGGAAAAGAAAUCAACCGAGAUUCCCCCAGUAGCGGCGAGCGAACGGGGAGCAGCCCAGAGUCUGAAUCAGCUUGUGUGUUAGUGGAACGGUCUGGAAAGUCCGACGGUACAGGGUGAUAGUCCCGUACACCAAAAUGCACAGGUUGUGAACUCGAAGAGUAGGGCGGGACACGUGGUAUCCUGUCUGAAUAUGGGGGGACCAUCCUCCAAGGCUAAAUACUCCUGACUGACCGAUAGUGAACCAGUACCGUGAGGGAAAGGCGAAAAGAACCCCGGCGAGGGGAGUGAAAAAGAACCUGAAACCGUGUACGUACAAGCAGUGGGAGCACCUUCGGGUGUGACUGCGUACCUUUUGUAUAAUGGGUCAGCGACUUAUAUUCUGUAGC